UUCGACGUCAAAGAGAGCCGCAAAAGAAAACCCUACAUGAUGAACCUGAUCUCAGUUCGAGUGUUGAGGUUUCUCGACCUUCCGUGACAGCCACACCAGCUCCCAAGAUGAUGUGGUUCUAUAGUACUGCGGACGCUUACAACCACAUCAAGAUAGAUGCAGACGCACCAGAGCUCACGGACCUUAUGCCCGAAGUAAAGGAAGAAGAUGACCAAAAGUUGUGGUUCUAUCAGGGUGACAAUAAUUCAUCGAAGGAGGAUUAGUACGUAUUAAAUAACUUCGCAAAAGACAAA
Helicoverpa zea (corn earworm) is the source of this 293-nucleotide long non-coding RNA. RefSeq lists it as uncharacterized. The record is from RefSeq and is a predicted model, not a curated record. The transcript has 3 exons. Lineage: Eukaryota; Metazoa; Arthropoda; Insecta; Lepidoptera; Noctuidae.